GGGUCAGUCAUGAAGUGAUUUAUUUUCCUUUGUAUAUAGCUUGAAGCCUAUAUUGUUUCUAUUUUUAUUUUGGCAGCUGGAUGCUUGUAAUACCUUGUUUACUUCAGCUUGAUGAGGGUAGUAAAUGUUUUCUCUUUAAAGGAACAAAUUAUCUUCUGUUUGAUGAUGUUUUCCUGCGGAGAUUUCUAUCUUUUCUUUUGAUGCAAG
RNAcentral lists this unclassified non-coding RNA (207 nucleotides) under Hevea brasiliensis (rubber tree). The record is from RNAcentral. Lineage: Eukaryota; Viridiplantae; Streptophyta; Magnoliopsida; Malpighiales; Euphorbiaceae.